UGACAAAGGCACUAAUAAAACUCUAAAGUUUAAAGGUGGCCCUGGUGUUUCCUUGCGAGCAGCGCGGGGACCUUUCACCUCUUGGAGACGCUCUGUUUGCAAAGCCUUAGAAAAGCCGUUUGGAAAGAGGAAGAUACAUGAACACCCACCCUUUUGCCAAGAAGCCACAAGUUCAGACAAAAGGAGCUUUUGAUGCUCUCUAAUCUUGCAAGUUAUCCAGCAUAAACCUGACUCCUAAUUCUGUAUCCUACUCAGUGGACCACAAGCCUCCAUGCUUACCGGUUUGCGAAAGUUUGGUACCUUUCUUAGGUAUUUGCAAGACUUCUGCCUUUUCUGCUGAUCCUUACCAGAGUCUGAGAAGAUCUUUCUGUGGUCAGACUUCUUUUGAAGAAACAUGGGAAAGGGGAUGGAAAGUCAGUUUGUAGCAGUGAACGAGUUAUAAAUAGUAACUGACAGAAUCACACUCUGAAUAGAAAUUCCUUU
Molecule: long non-coding RNA, 483 nt
Filed under: Struthio camelus australis
Lineage: Eukaryota; Metazoa; Chordata; Aves; Struthioniformes; Struthionidae
Description: lncRNA (ENSSCUG00000006560.1)
Source: RNAcentral